CCUACGGGCGGCAGCAGUGAGGAAUAUUGGUCAAUGGGAGGAAUCCUGAACCAGCCAUGCCGCGUGCAGGACGACGGCUCUACGAGUUGUAAACUGCUUUUGUACCGGGGUAAAAUGCUCUACGAGUAGGGUUUUGAAAGUACGGUACGAAUAAGGAUCGGCUAACUCCGUGCCAGCAGCCGCGGUAAUACGGAGGAUCCGAGCGUUAUCCGGAUUCAUUGGGUUUAAAGGGUGCGUAGGUUGUUUUAUAAGUUAGCGGUGAAAUACCGAUGCUCAACAUCGGGGCUGCCGCUAAUACUGUAGGACUAGAGAUCGGAUGCAGCAGGCGGAAUGUGUAGUGUAGCGGUGAAAUGCAUAGAUAUUAGGAGGAACACCGGUGGCGAAGGUGGCCUGCUGGACUGUGACUGACGUUGAGGCCCGAAGGCGUGGGGAGCAAACAGGAUUAGAUACCCCAGUAGUC
RNAcentral lists this ribosomal RNA (460 nucleotides) under uncultured bacterium. RNAcentral describes it as "partial 16S ribosomal RNA". It matches the Rfam family "Bacterial small subunit ribosomal RNA", at positions 338 to 795 of the family's 1533-position model. The record is from RNAcentral.